RNAcentral lists this ribosomal RNA (573 nucleotides) under uncultured Geobacter sp. RNAcentral describes it as "bacterial SSU rRNA". It matches the Rfam family "Bacterial small subunit ribosomal RNA", at positions 24 to 574 of the family's 1533-position model. The record is from RNAcentral. Lineage: Bacteria; Pseudomonadati; Thermodesulfobacteriota; Desulfuromonadia; Geobacterales; Geobacteraceae.
UCAGAACGAACGCUGGCGGCGUGCCUAACACAUGCAAGUCGAACGAGAAAGCCCGGCUUCGGUUGGGCGAGUAAAGUGGCGCACGGGUGAGUAACGCGUAGGCAACCUGCCCCCUUGUCCGGGAUAACAGUGCGAAAGCGCUGCUAAUACCGGAUGUGGCCAAGAGGCGGUGGCUCCUUGGCUAAAGUCGGCCUCUCGAAGAAGCUGACGCACGGGGAUGGGCCUGCGUCCUAUCAGCUAGUUGGCAGGGUAACGGCCUACCAAGGCUACGACGGGUAGCUGGUCUGAGAGGAUGAUCAGCCACACUGGCACUGAAACACGGGCCAGACUCCUACGGGAGGCAGCAGUGAGGAAUUUUGCGCAAUGGCCGCAAGGCUGACGCAGCAACGCCGCGUGGGUGACGAAGGCCUUCGGGUCGUAAAGCCCUGUCGGGUGGGAAGAAGGGCCGGGGAGCCAAUAGUUUUCCGGUUUGACGGUACCACCGAAGGAAGCACCGGCUAACUCCGUGCCAGCAGCCGCGGUAAUACGGAGGGUGCAAGCGUUAUUCGGAUUACUGGGCGUAAGCGCGUGCAG